This 512-nucleotide ribosomal RNA is filed under the name uncultured bacterium. Its description in RNAcentral is "partial 16S ribosomal RNA". It matches the Rfam family "Bacterial small subunit ribosomal RNA", at positions 28 to 507 of the family's 1533-position model. The record is from RNAcentral.
GAUGAACGCUGGCGGCGUGCCUAAUACAUGCAAGUCGAACGAAACUUCUUUAUCACCGAGUGCUUGCACUCACCGAUAAAGAGUUGAGUGGCGAACGGGUGAGUAACACGUGGGCAACCUGCCCAAAAGAGGGGGAUAACACUUGGAAACAGGUGCUAAUACCGCAUAACCAUAGUUACCGCAUGGUAACUAUGUAAAAGGUGGCUAUACUACCGCUUUUGGAUGGGCCCGCGGUGCAUUAGCUAGUUGGUAGGGUAAAGGCUUACCAAGGCAAUGAUGCGUAGCCGAAUUGAGAGGUUGAUCGGCCACAUUGGGACUGAGACACGGCCCAAACUCCUACGGGAGGCAGCAGUAGGGAAUCUUCCACAAUGGGCGAAAGCCUGAUGGAGCAACGCCGCGUGGGUGAAGAAGGUCUUCGGAUCGUAAAACCCUGUUGUUAGAGAAGAAAGUGCGUGAGAGUAACUGUUCACGUUUCGACGGUAUCUAACCAGAAAGCCACUGCUAACUACGUG